Molecule: non-coding RNA, 310 nt
Organism: Biomphalaria pfeifferi
Lineage: Eukaryota; Metazoa; Mollusca; Gastropoda; Planorbidae
Source: the annotation of a GenBank genome assembly
AGAUACUAGAAUGACAUGGGAGUAGAUGAAGAAAGAUGGGGAUACUAGAAUGACAUGGGAGCAGAUGAAGAAAGAUGGAGAUACUAGAAUGACAUGGGAGCAGAUGAAGAAAGCUGGAGAUAAUGAAAUGACAUGGGAGCAGAUGAAGAAAGCUGGGGAUACUGGAAUGACAUAGGAGCAGAUGAAGAAAGCUGGAGAUACUAGAAUGACAUGGGAGCAGAUGAAGAAAGCUGGAGAUACUAGAAGGACAUGGGAGCAGAUGAAGAAAGAUGGAGAUACUAGAAUGACAUGGGAGCAGAUGAAGAAAGCU